Amblyraja radiata (thorny skate) is the source of this 1448-nucleotide RNA transcript. It is a transcript of the gene named protein-tyrosine sulfotransferase 1, with no coding region annotated. NCBI's taxonomy places the organism in Eukaryota, Metazoa, Chordata, Chondrichthyes, Rajiformes, Rajidae. The transcript has 6 exons. The record is from RefSeq and is a predicted model, not a curated record.
UCUGGAUCAACGUCAAUUAUAGUUGCGAUACUUCAAAAUGAUAGGCAAAUUAAAACACAACUUGCUUUUAGCAUGUUUAGUGAUUAGUUCACUCACAGUGUUUUAUCUUGGCCGGUAUGCAUUAGAAUGCCACCAUAAAAUAGAUCACAACGGGAAACUUCUACAGGUAUUAAGUAAUGGAAGAUCACUAAAUUAUGUUUCGGGAACUGGAUUAAAAAAUAAUUCGAACAGAUUUGUUUACAACAAAGACAUGCCAUUAAUAUUUAUUGGAGGCGUUCCGCGAAGUGGCACCACACUCAUGAGGGCUAUGCUCGAUGCUCAUCCUGAUGUUCGCUGUGGCGAAGAGACCAGAGUUAUUCCUAGAAUUCUAGCGAUGAAGCAUAUGUGGAGCAAAUCUGGCCGGGAGAAGCAGCGACUGGAUGAAGCUGGUGUUACGGAUGAGGUGCUGGAUUCAGCCAUGCAAGCCUUUUUACUAGAAAUUAUUGUUAAACAUGGGGAACCCGCUAAAUACUUGUGCAAUAAAGAUCCGUUUGCCCUUAAAUCGUUGACUUACUUAAGUAAAAUAUUUCCCAAUGCAAAAUUUAUUCUAAUGAUAAGAGAUGGCCGUGCUUCAGUUCAUUCUAUGAUUACUCGGAAAGUUACCAUAGCAGGAUUUGAUCUCAGCAGUUACAGAGACUGCUUGACCAAAUGGAACCGUGCCAUUGAGAUCAUGUAUAACCAGUGUUUAGAAACUGGGUUUAAUAAGUGUUUGCCAGUACAUUAUGAACAACUUGUUUUGCAUCCAACUACAUGGAUGAAAAAUGUUCUGAAGUUCCUAGACAUACCUUGGAAUACAGCAGUUUUACAUCAUGAAGAAAUGAUAGGAAAAGUUGGUGGUGUUUCACUUUCUAAGGUUGAACGAUCUACAGAUCAAGUCAUCAAACCUGUCAAUAUUGAAGCCUUAACAAAAUGGGUGGGGAAAAUUCCGCAUGAAGUAGUUCGCGAAAUGCCAGUGAUUGCCCCAAUGUUAGCAAAGCUUGGAUAUGAUCCAUAUGCAAACCCACCAAAUUAUGGAAAACCAGAUCCAGCAGUUAUUGAAAACACUAAAAGGGAAACAUCUCUAAUAUGACUGGCUGUUCAGCCAGCUUGAUGACAUCAAAACUAGUGGAUGCCAGAAUUGGCACAUUGUCAGUCGUAAGAGGUUUCUUUCAGCUACCAGAAUUUCUUCAAGAACAUCCGGAGGUUGAGAUAAAGAAGAUAUAAGAAAGGGUCAGAAAUGUUCCUCAAAAAGAUAUGCGCAAAACUAAAGAGUGAACAAGAUGUCUGUCGUCAUGACUCUCAAAAAAGCAAGCAGUUGUGAUCCUUUGUGUCUAGAACAGCAUUUUUGUUUUGCUUAUACAGAUUUUGUAAUAUACCAAUGUUGUGGUCACAUGAAUAUGAAAUAAAGCAAUUAUUAUUUUUGUAUAUUC